Molecule: long non-coding RNA, 279 nt
Filed under: Setaria viridis
Lineage: Eukaryota; Viridiplantae; Streptophyta; Magnoliopsida; Poales; Poaceae
Description: long non-coding RNA (SVIR_LNC010427)
Source: RNAcentral
UCAUGAGCAACUAGCCUCACAUGAUUGUGCCCUGAAGCUGCCUAGAAUUGUUUCAAGAAAUUCUUCUUCACAAUUGUAAUAUUCUUUGACAUCUCUUGUCCUUCAAGCUCCGAGGCUAAGGGAAACUGAGAGCUAUGUGCUCCAAAUUUCUGAAAAUCAAGACAGCCUUCACCCUCCAACAGCUUCAGCAUACCCUCGCAACAGAAAGAGGCCGCGUAGUCGCUAGCUCCAGCAAUGACUAAGGGCAAGGAUUCAAACUCUUGAUCCAUCCAAUCAAAC